UUCUGUGUACAGAACCUAUUUCUCUUUCUCUCUUUCCUUACUCUCUCCCUCUCAUCUCCAUUCUCAAAUCUCUCCUCUCUCUCUUGCUCUACCACAGACACCGUCGGCCCUCUAUCACCAGUAGGUCCUCUCUCUAUCUCUCUCUCUACCUCUCUCACUCUCUCUGAUCUCUUUUUCUCAGAUCUAAAAUCUCUUCUGCCUUCCAAGAAGCCUCAAAUGGGGUUCUUCAUGCUCUCACCAAAGUUAUGAAGGUUGCAUUGUAUGAGCAGAAUGAGAAACCUUCUUCUACCCUUGAGUAUAUCGGAAGGAGCCGGCAUCACUUUCUUCUUUUUUUUUCUUUUUUUUUUGGUUUUCAGGUACACCGGAAAGAGCCGGCCAUCUCUGUUCCGUCACUUUUUUCUUGUAAUUCAUAUUUUUAAUUAAAUGUAAAUCAUAUUUUAUGCAAAGAGAGUGGAAUAUUUUGUAUGGUGUAGAAAUUUAAUGGCAAU
Molecule: long non-coding RNA, 488 nt
Organism: Alnus glutinosa
Lineage: Eukaryota; Viridiplantae; Streptophyta; Magnoliopsida; Fagales; Betulaceae
Exons: 3
Source: RefSeq, a predicted model, not a curated record